Molecule: ribosomal RNA, 497 nt
Filed under: uncultured bacterium
Lineage: Bacteria
Description: partial 16S ribosomal RNA
Rfam family: Bacterial small subunit ribosomal RNA
Source: RNAcentral
GAUGAACGCUGGCGGCGUGCCUAAUACAUGCAAGUCGAGCGAACGGACGAGAAGCUUGCUUCUCUGAUGUUAGCGGCGGACGGGUGAGCAACACGUGGAUAACCUACCUAUAAGACUGGGAUAACUUCGGGAAACCGGAGCUAAUACCGGAUAAUAUUUUGAACCGCAUGGUUCAAAAGUGAAAGACGGUCUUGCUGUCACUUAUAGAUGGAUCCGCGCUGCAUUAGCUAGUUGGUAAGGUAACGGCUUACCAAGGCAACGAAGCAUAGCCGACCUGAGAGGGUGAUCGGCCACACUGGAACUGAGACACGGUCCAGACUCCUACGGGAGGCAGCAGUAGGGAAUCUUCCGCAAUGGGCGAAAGCCUGACGGAGCAACGCCGCGUGAGUGAUGAAGGUCUUCGGAUCGUAAAACUCUGUUAUUAGGGAAGAACAUAUGUGUAAGUAACUGUGCACAUCUUGACGGUACCUAAUCAGAAAGCCACGGCUAACUACGUG